This 496-nucleotide ribosomal RNA is filed under the name Snodgrassella alvi. RNAcentral describes it as "bacterial LSU rRNA". It matches the Rfam family "Bacterial large subunit ribosomal RNA", at positions 2437 to 2925 of the family's 2925-position model. Lineage: Bacteria; Pseudomonadati; Pseudomonadota; Betaproteobacteria; Neisseriales; Neisseriaceae. The record is from RNAcentral.
AAGGGCCAUCGCUCAACGGAUAAAAGGUACUCCGGGGAUAACAGGCUGAUUCCGCCCAAGAGUUCAUAUCGACGGCGGAGUUUGGCACCUCGAUGUCGGCUCAUCACAUCCUGGGGCUGUAGUCGGUCCCAAGGGUAUGGCUGUUCGCCAUUUAAAGUGGUACGUGAGCUGGGUUUAAAACGUCGUGAGACAGUUUGGUCCCUAUCUGCAGUGGGCGUUGGAAGUUUGACGGGGGCUGCUCCUAGUACGAGAGGACCGGAGUGGACGAACCUCUGGUGUACCGGUUGUGACGCCAGUCGCAUCGCCGGGUAGCUAAGUUCGGAAGAGAUAAACGCUGAAAGCAUCUAAGCGUGAAACUCGCCUGAAGAUGAGACUUCCCUAGGGAUUAAAUCCCUCUAAAGAGACGUUCGAGACCAGGACGUUGAUAGGUCGGGUGUGGAAGAGUGGUAACACUUGCAGCUAACCGAUACUAAUUGCUCGUGAGGCUUGACUCUAU